This 148-nucleotide signal recognition particle RNA is filed under the name Pan troglodytes (chimpanzee). Its description in RNAcentral is "Metazoan signal recognition particle RNA". It matches the Rfam family "Metazoan signal recognition particle RNA". Rfam says of the family: The signal recognition particle (SRP) is a universally conserved ribonucleoprotein. Lineage: Eukaryota; Metazoa; Chordata; Mammalia; Primates; Hominidae. The record is from Rfam by way of RNAcentral.
GCUGGGCAUGGUGGUGUGUGCCUGUAGUCCCAGCUACUUGGGAGGCUGAGGCAGGAGGAUUGCUUGAGCCCAGGAGAUUGAGGCUGCCGUGAGCCAUGAUAGUGCCACUGCACUCCAACUUGGGCAACAGAGCAAGACCCUGUCUCUA